GACGAACGCUGGCGGCGUGCUUAACACAUGCAAGUCGAACGGAAAGGCCUCUUUCGGGGGGUACUCGCGUGGCGAACGGGUGAGUAACACGUGAGUAACCUGCCCUUGACUUUGGGAUAACUUCAGGAAACUGGGGCUAAUACCGGAUAGGAGCUCCUGCUGCAUGGUGGGGGUUGGAAAGUUUCGGCGGUUGGGGAUGGACUCGCGGCUUAUCAGCUUGUUGGUGGGGUAGUGGCUUACCAAGGCUUUGACGGGUAGCCGGCCUGAGAGGGUGACCGGCCACACUGGGACUGAGAGACGGCCCAGACUCCGACGGGAGGCAGCAGUGGGGAAGAUUGCACAAGGGGUGGAAGCCUGAUGCAGCAACGCCGUGUGCGGGAUGACGGCCUUCGGGUUGUAAACCGCUUUCGCUCAUGACGAAGCUUUGUGUGACGGUAGUGGGUAAAGAAGCACCGGCUAACUACGUG
This 467-nucleotide ribosomal RNA is filed under the name uncultured bacterium. RNAcentral describes it as "partial 16S ribosomal RNA". It matches the Rfam family "Bacterial small subunit ribosomal RNA", at positions 28 to 507 of the family's 1533-position model. The record is from RNAcentral.